GACGAACGCUGGCGGCGUGCUUAACACAUGCCAGUCGAACGGAAAGGCCCUGCUUUUGUGGGGUGCUCGAGUGGCGAACGGGUGAGUAACACGUGAGUAACCUGCCCUUGACUUUGGGAUAACUUCAGGAAACUGGGGCUAAUACCGGAUAGGAGCUCCUGCUGCAUGGUGGGGGUUGGAAAGUUUCGGCGGUUGGGGAUGGACUCGCGGCUUAUUAGCUUGUUGGUGGGGUAGUGGCUUACCAAGGCUUUGACGGGUAGCCGGCCUGAGAGGGUGACCGGCCACAUUGGGACUGAGAUACGGCCCAGACUCCUACGGGAGGCAGCAGUGGGGAAUAUUGCACAAUGGGCGGAAGCCUGAUGCAGAAACGCCGCGUGCGGGAUGACGGCCUUCGGGUUGUAAACCGCUUUCGCCUGUGACGAAGCGUGAGUGACGGUAAUGGGUAAAGAAGCACCGGCUAACUACGUG
This 468-nucleotide ribosomal RNA is filed under the name uncultured bacterium. Its description in RNAcentral is "partial 16S ribosomal RNA". It matches the Rfam family "Bacterial small subunit ribosomal RNA", at positions 28 to 507 of the family's 1533-position model. The record is from RNAcentral.